GACGAACGCUGGCGGCGUGCUUAACACAUGCCAGUCGAACGGAAAGGCCCUGCUUUUGUGGGGUGCUCGAGUGGCGAACGGGUGAGUAACACGUGAGUAACCUGCCCUUGACUUUGGGAUAACUUCAGGAAACUGGGGCUAAUACCGGAUAGGAGCUCCUGCUGCAUGGUGGGGGUUGGAAAGUUUCGGCGGUUGGGGAUGGACUCGCGGCUUAUCAGCUUGUUGGUGGGGUAGUGGCUUACCAAGGCUUUGACGGGUAGCCGGCCUGAGAGGGUGACCGGCCACAUUGGGACUGAGAUACGGCCCAGCCUCGUACGGGACGCAGCAGUGGGGUAUAUUGCACAAUGGGCGGAAGCCUGAUGUAGCAACGCCGCGUGCGGGAUGACGGCCUUCGGGUUGUAAACCGCUUUCGCCUGUGACGAAGCGUUAGUGACGGUAAUGGGUAAAGAAGCACCGGCUAACUACGUG
This 468-nucleotide ribosomal RNA is filed under the name uncultured bacterium. RNAcentral describes it as "partial 16S ribosomal RNA". It matches the Rfam family "Bacterial small subunit ribosomal RNA", at positions 28 to 507 of the family's 1533-position model. The record is from RNAcentral.